AUGAGAUCUGAUGGUUUUUUCAAGGAGAGUUCCCCUGCACAUGCUCUGUUGCCUGCUGCCAUGUGAGAUAUGACUUUGCUCUUCUUUCACCAUCCGCCAUGACUGUGAGGCCUCCUCAGGCGUGUGGAACUAACAAGGGGGAGUCUCCCUGCACAAGUUCUCUCUCUUUGCCUGCUGCCAUCCACGUAAGAUGUGACUUGCUCCUCCUUGCCUUCCACCAUGAUUGUGAGGCUUCCCCAGCCAUGUGGAACUGCUUCUUUUCUGGUUUCCUGUUUUGAUCUCCUCUCAACCAUUAACGCCUACACUGUGUUGGUGGCCCUGAUGAAGAAAUGUGCUUCUUCAUUUAGACCCGGGAUGGCUGAUGGUUUUCUGAUUGAUUGGUAGCAAAACCUGGAAAGCUAGUUUGAGAGAUUUAAAGCCCAGGCCAAAUGCAGCAGCUUGCUUGAGUCCUGCUGGAAAAGGCCUCAUGUGGAAGCCCCAGGGACGACUUCCAGCACUGAGGAAUUUUCAGUCUUCUGCGUCUGUCAAUCAACUGAACCAUUUAUGGCUGGUAUCUUCUUUUCUAGUGCCCAUAAGCCCUGUCACUGUUGAGCUGGGCCCACCUAAAGGCUGAUGUCCUUUGCAAUUUCUGGGACUACUGCAAGUGCUCCUAACUGUCCUCCCUGCCUCCAGCCUUCCAACCUACAGCCACUCGAGUUGCCUUCCUACACAUCAGAGCCGGUCAUGCCAUUCUCCUGCUUAAAAGCCCAUCUCACUGGCU
This 760-nucleotide small RNA is filed under the name Pongo abelii (Sumatran orangutan). RNAcentral's name for it is "sense overlapping". The record is from RNAcentral. Lineage: Eukaryota; Metazoa; Chordata; Mammalia; Primates; Hominidae.